RNAcentral lists this unclassified non-coding RNA (300 nucleotides) under uncultured Tremellomycetes. RNAcentral's name for it is "sequence contains ITS1". The stretch from base 1 to 105 matches the Rfam family "5.8S ribosomal RNA", at positions 50 to 154 of the family's 154-position model. The record is from RNAcentral. Lineage: Eukaryota; Fungi; Basidiomycota; Tremellomycetes.
GAAAUGCGAUAAGUAAUGUGAAUUGCAGAAUUCAGUGAAUCAUCGAAUCUUUGAACGCACCUUGCGCCCUCUGGUAUUCCGGAGGGCAUGCCUGUUUGAGUGUCAUGAACACCUCACCCCCUCGGGUUUCCGAUCGGGUGGAUUUGGGUGCUGCCAGUUACAUGGCUCGCCUUAAAUGUAUUAGCGGUUGUUGACGUAAUAAGUUUCGUCUUGUCGACCGCUCCUAAUCUCCCUCAGGGGAUGUCUUUGGACACUUCAUGAUCUGACCUCAAAUCAGGUAGGACUACCCGCUGAACUUAA